RNAcentral lists this ribosomal RNA (888 nucleotides) under uncultured bacterium. RNAcentral's name for it is "bacterial SSU rRNA". It matches the Rfam family "Bacterial small subunit ribosomal RNA", at positions 8 to 891 of the family's 1533-position model. The record is from RNAcentral.
AGAGUUUGAUCAUGGCUCAGAUUGAACGCUGGCGGUAGGCUUAACACAUGCAAGUCGAGCGAGAAAGUAUCUUCGGAUAUGAGUAGAGCGGCGGACGGGUGAGUAACGCGUAGGAAUCUACCUAGUAGAAGGGGAUAGCCCGGGGAAACUCGGAUUAAUACCGUAUACCUCCUAAGGGAGAAAGAGGGCCUCUCUUGAAGCUCUCGCUACUAGAUGAGCCUGCGUAAGAUUAGCUUGUUGGUAAGGUAAUGGCUUACCAAGGCUACGAUCUUUAGCUGGUCUGAGAGGACGAUCAGCCACAUUGGGACUGAGACACGGCCCAGACUCCUACGGGAGGCAGCAGUGGGGAAUAUUGGACAAUGGGCGCAAGCCUGAUCCAGCCAUACCGCGUGUGUGAAGAAGGCCUUCGGGUUGUAAAGCACUUUAAGCAGGGAGAAAAAGCAAUAAGUUAAUACCUUAUUGCCGUGAUGUUACCUGCAGAAUAAGCACCGGCUAAUUCCGUGCCAGCAGCCGCGGUAAUACGGAAGGUGCAAGCGUUAAUCGGAAUUACUGGGCGUAAAGCGCGCGUAGGUGGUUUGUUAAGUUGGAUGUGAAAGCCCUGGGCUCAACCUAGGAACUGCAUCCAAAACUAACUCACUAGAGUACGAUAGAGGGAGGUAGAAUUCAUAGUGUAGCGGUGGAAUGCGUAGAUAUUAUGAAGAAUACCAGUGGCGAAGGCGGCCUCCUGGAUCUGUACUGACACUAAGGUGCGAAAGCGUGGGUAGCGAACAGGAUUAGAUACCCUGGUAGUCCACGCCGUAAACGAUGACAACUAGCUGUUGGGAGACAAUGUCUUUCAGUGGCGCAGCUAACGUUUUAAGUUGUCCGCCUGGGGAGUACGGGCCGCAA